Molecule: long non-coding RNA, 397 nt
Organism: Monodelphis domestica (gray short-tailed opossum)
Lineage: Eukaryota; Metazoa; Chordata; Mammalia; Didelphimorphia; Didelphidae
Source: RefSeq, a predicted model, not a curated record
CUGAGUCCUAUCCCAGAGGAGGAGGAGAAGGAAGAGGUGACGGAGGCGGGGACUAGAUGAGGGAAAUUGGGGAGUGCUGACGACAUCCCCUACUUCGCUACUGGCUGGGCGGAGAAAGUGCCAAUGGCCAUAGUGGGACCCCAUCCCCUGAUAGACCUUGGGCCUUGAGUCUCUGAAACAAGGAGUGCCCUGGAUUCUUUUAGGGUCGCGCAAAAUAUAUGGCCAAAAUAUAUCUCAUUCAGUAUUUUGAGGCCAUCACCUCUCCAUCGAAAGGUUUCAUGGUCAUAUAUCAUCAUUGGAAGAACAUUGGCAUCAGAGAGAUGAGUUUUGCAGCAGCCUUGGACUUAUUGAAAACACAUGCACAUUUCUAAAUAUAAUAAAACUUCAACUUGAAAAA